CCUACGGGCGGCAGCAGUGGGGAAUAUUGGGCAAUGGGCGCAAGCCUGACCCAGCAACGCCGCGUGAAGGAAUAAGGCUUUCCGGUUGUUAACCUCUUUUCUCAGGGACGCAGAAUGUGACGGUACCUGAGGAAUAAGCAACGGCUAACUACGUGCCAGCAGCCGCGGCAAUACGUAGGUGGCAAGCGUUAUCCGGAUUUAUUGGGUGUAAGGGGCGUGUAGGCGGGAGCGCAAGUCAGAUGUGAAAACUCAGGGCUCAACCCUGAGCCUGCAUUUGAAACUGUGUUUCUUGAGUGCUGGAGAGGCAAUCGGAAUUCCGGGUGUAGCGGUGAAAUGCGUAGAUAUACGGAGGAACACUAGUGGCGAAGGCGGAUUGCUGGACAGUAACUGACGCUGAGGCGCGAAAGCGUGGGGAGCAAACAGGAUUAGAUACCCGAGUAGUC
This 443-nucleotide ribosomal RNA is filed under the name uncultured bacterium. Its description in RNAcentral is "partial 16S ribosomal RNA". It matches the Rfam family "Bacterial small subunit ribosomal RNA", at positions 338 to 795 of the family's 1533-position model. The record is from RNAcentral.